Sus scrofa (pig) is the source of this 606-nucleotide non-coding RNA. The record is from RefSeq and is a predicted model, not a curated record. NCBI's taxonomy places the organism in Eukaryota, Metazoa, Chordata, Mammalia, Artiodactyla, Suidae.
UGGGUGCAACCCUAAAAGAAAGAAAGAAGAAAAGAAAUAAAGAAAGAAAGAAGGAAGGAAGGAAAAAAGGCAAGAAAGAAAGAAAGAAAAGAAAGAAGAUUUUUUCAUUCCUAUAACAGUUGCUUCUUCAGUGACUCUUUUCAGUGACCAGAAGACUUUACCUAACCUGGUGGAAGUUUUCACGCUAUAGAGAAGGGAAAGACAGAGAAAUUUGAACUUCGGUGGGAUCUGACAUGUGGAGUUAUCUGUGGCUGAGAUGGGAGCGGGGGAUCACAGGGCAAGCCCCCAAGAGUCGCAUCGAGGAGCAACCCUGCCUGGGAGCCAGCAUGGAAACAGGGACCUCAGUUCUACGAUUACAAGGAACUGAAUCCUGCCAACAACCUGAAUGGGCUUGGAAGCAGAUCCCUCCCCAGAGCCUUCAAGUAAGCACCUGCCUGGCUGACAUCCUGCUUUCAGCCUUAUGAGACCCCAAGCAGAGCACUCGGAUGAGUCUGCCUGGACUUCUGAACUACACAACUACAACUUAGUAAACAGGCAUUGCUUUAAGAAACAAUUUUUGGUAACUUGUUACACAGCAAUAGAAAACUAAUACACACGCUUUCUUUC